GCUUCUUCUGUAGGAAGGGAAUUGGUGACAUCUGUCUCAGUGAGCAUCUGGUGACAGCCCAAGAACACACAGGCACUGAGAGGGACCACAUCCUUCUGAAUCCCUUUGGAUUGAAGAGCUUGCCUCUGAAGGCCUUGGGAGUCAGAAUCAGCUUGGAAGAUUUUUAUGAGCCUGCUAGCUUUGAAGAAUACAAGAAGUUCGAGCAAGGAGAGGUUCCCUGCAGCACAGCACAGCUGCCUUGCCAGAUCAUGGCCAGACUGCUUCUUUAAGCGGUACCUCAAUCUAUUCCUCUUCACUGGGCAAGUCCUCCCUGCAGGGGCUUCAGCCACACAAGCAAGGGUUCUACAGACAAAGUUCUGAUCUCUCCCUGGAAUGAAGCUCACAGGGGAAGAGCAGCUGUCAUCUCUGCAGUUUGGUAAACUCAGCCAUUCCAGCCUGCCAACUUUGGAAAAUACAAAUGGUCCAGGCAAGGAAGGGUCUCCUGGCACCUACUCUACCAAAGGGCAGCCAGAGGGCUUCUUGGGGUGGGUCCCUGAUCCCAUUCCUCCCGAGUGGGUGGGACCUCCCAGCAGGGGUCUCCAGCCACCUCCUACAGGCAUGUUCCUUCUGGCAACAGGUCAGUGCAUCCCUGGGAUGGAGCUUCCAGAGGAAGGAGCAGGCUGCCAUCUUUGCUGUUUUGCAGGCUUCACUGACGAUACCUCCAGGUACAGGGAAAAACUGAAGCAACUAAGGUCUGGAGUGGACCCCCAGUAAACU
RNAcentral lists this long non-coding RNA (756 nucleotides) under Homo sapiens (human). RNAcentral's name for it is "HSALNT0173615". Lineage: Eukaryota; Metazoa; Chordata; Mammalia; Primates; Hominidae. The record is from RNAcentral.